RNAcentral lists this transfer RNA (73 nucleotides) under Candidatus Acetothermia bacterium. Its description in RNAcentral is "tRNA-Asn". It matches the Rfam family "tRNA". Rfam says of the family: Transfer RNA (tRNA) molecules are approximately 80 nucleotides in length. Their secondary structure includes four short double-helical elements and three loops (D, anti-codon, and T loops). The record is from RNAcentral. RNAcentral also lists the same sequence under 1 other name. Lineage: Bacteria; Candidatus Bipolaricaulota.
UGGGGUGUGGUCCAACUGGUAGGGCGCCCGGCUGUUAACCGGGAGGUUGGAGGUUCGAGUCCUCCCGCCCCAG